Molecule: ribosomal RNA, 802 nt
Filed under: uncultured bacterium
Lineage: Bacteria
Description: bacterial SSU rRNA
Rfam family: Bacterial small subunit ribosomal RNA
Source: RNAcentral
AGAGUUUGAUCAUGGCUCAGAACUAACGCUGGCGGCGCGUCUAAAACAUGCAUGUCGAACGAGAAAGCCUUCGGGUGAGUAAAGUGGCAAAUGGGUGAGUAAUAUAUAGAUAAUCUGCCGUAUGGAUGGGGACAACCCCGAGAAAUCGGAGCUAAUACCGAAUGAUAUCCCGGGUGCCAAGUACUUGGGAUUAAAGGUGCGUUUGCAUCGCCAUACGAUGAGUCUAUACACUAUUAGCUUGUUGGUAGGGUAAAGGCCUACCAAGGCUACGAUGGUUAGUCGGCCUGAGAGGGUGAUCGACCACAUUGGGACUGAGACACGGCCCAGACUCCUACGGGAGGCAGCAGUUAAGGAUCUUCCGCAAUGGACGAAAGUCUGACGGAGCGACGCCGCGUGUACGAUGAAGGCCUUUUAGGUUGUAAAGUACUUUCGAUUGGGAAGAAAUGAUCGGGUAGGAAAUGGCCCGAUUUUGACGGUACCUAAAGAAGAAGCCCCGGCUAAUUACGUGCCAGCAGCCGCGGUAAUACGUAGGGGGCAAGCGUUGUUCGGAUUUACUGGGCGUAAAGGGUGCGUAGGCGGGACAGCAAGUUAGAUUUGAAAUCUUGUGGCUCAACCAUAAAAUUGGAUCUAAAACUGCUGUUCUUGAGUAUGGGAGAGGAGAACGGAAUUUCUAGUGUAGGGGGUGAGAUCUGUAGAUAUUAGAAAGAACACCGGUGGCGUANGCGGUUCUCAAGCCUGAUACUGACGCUGANGCACGAAAGCCAGGGGAGCGAACGGGAUUAGAUACCCCGGUAGUCCUGGC